GAAGUAAAAGUCGUAACAAGGUUUCCGUAGGUGAACCUGCGGAAGGAUCAUUAACGUACAACGGAGGCGCGAGGGCUGUCGCUGGCCUUCAAAGGUCGUGCACGCUCGAAGCGUUCUCUCGCACAUCCAUCUCACCCCCUUUGUGCAUCACCGCGCGGGUCCUCCUUACGGAGGGCUCACGUUUUCACAUAAAAACUCGAUACAGUAUAGAAUGUUUUCUUUUUAGUUUGCGGUCACACGCAAUCAAUACAACUUUCAACAACGGAUCUCUUGGCUCUCGCAUCGAUGAAGAACGCAGCGAAAUGCGAUACGUAAUGUGAAUUGCAGAAUUCAGUGAAUCAUCGAAUCUUUGAACGCACCUUGCGCCCCUUGGCAUUCCGAGGGGCACACCCGUUUGAGUGUCGUGAAAUCAUCAAAAUCCCUUUUCUUUUUGAAAAGGGGUUUUGGACUUGGAGGUUUGAUGCUCGCUUUCACUSCCGAAAGCGAGCUCCUCUCAAAUGAAUCAGUGGGGUUUGCUUUGCCGAUCCUUGACGUGAUAAGAUGCUUCUACGUUUUGGACUUGGCAUCGUGCCCGCUUCUAACYGUCUCAUGGACAACGAUGGUGCUUCGGUCGUCGCCAUUCACACUGGCGGGAGGCUGGACCCACAUGCAAAGCCUUGACCUCAAAUCGGGUGAGACUACCCGCUGAACUUAAGCAUA
This 699-nucleotide ribosomal RNA is filed under the name Russula sp. 3 GJ-2013b. RNAcentral describes it as "eukaryotic LSU rRNA". The stretch from base 251 to 404 matches the Rfam family "5.8S ribosomal RNA". Lineage: Eukaryota; Fungi; Basidiomycota; Agaricomycetes; Russulales; Russulaceae. The record is from RNAcentral.